UCCAGACUCCUACGGGAGGCAGCAGUGGGGGAUAUUGCACAAUGGGGGGAACCCUGAUGCAGCGACGCCGCGUGGGUGAAGGAGCGUUUCGGCGCGUAAAGCCCUAUCGGCAGGGAAGAAGGAGGACGGUACCUGACUAAGAAGCCCCGGCUAACUACGUGCCAGCAGCCGCGGUAAUACGUAGGGGGCAAGCGUUAUCCGGAUUUACUGGGUGUAAAGGGGGCGCAGACGGCAGCGCAAGCCAGGAGUGAAAGCCCGGGGCCCAACCCCGGGACUGCUCUUGGAACUGCGCGGCUGGAGUGCAGGAGGGGCAGGCGGAAUUCCUGGUGUAGCGGUGAAAUGCGUAGAUAUCAGGAGGAACACCGGUGGCGAAGGCGGCCUGCUGGACUGCGACUGACGUUGAGGCCCGAAAGCGUGGGGAGCAAACAGGAUUAGAUACCCCCGUAAAA
This 449-nucleotide ribosomal RNA is filed under the name uncultured bacterium. RNAcentral describes it as "partial 16S ribosomal RNA". It matches the Rfam family "Bacterial small subunit ribosomal RNA", at positions 330 to 794 of the family's 1533-position model. The record is from RNAcentral.